This 490-nucleotide ribosomal RNA is filed under the name uncultured bacterium. RNAcentral describes it as "partial 16S ribosomal RNA". It matches the Rfam family "Bacterial small subunit ribosomal RNA", at positions 29 to 505 of the family's 1533-position model. The record is from RNAcentral.
AGUGAACGCUGGCGGUAGGCCUAACACAUGCAAGUCGAACGGCAGCACAGUAAGAGCUUGCUCUUACGGGUGGCGAGUGGCGGACGGGUGAGGAAUACAUCGGAAUCUACUUUUUCGUGGGGGAUAACGUAGGGAAACUUACGCUAAUACCGCAUACGACCUACGGGUGAAAGCAGGGGAUCUUCGGACCUUGCGCGAUUGAAUGAGCCGAUGUCGGAUUAGCUAGUUGGCGGGGUAAAGGCCCACCAAGGCGACGAUCCGUAGCUGGUCUGAGAGGAUGAGCAGCCACACUGGAACUGAGACACGGGCCAGACUCCUACGGGAGGCAGAAGUGGGGAAUAUUGGACAAUGGGCGCAAGCCUGAUCCAGCCAUACCGCGUGGGUGAAGAAGGCCUUCGGGUUGUAAAGCCCUUUUGUUGGGAAAGAAAAGCAGAAGGUUAAUACCCCGCUGUUCUGACGGUACCCAAAGAAUAAGCACCGGCUAACUUCG